RNAcentral lists this long non-coding RNA (199 nucleotides) under Capsicum annuum. RNAcentral's name for it is "long non-coding RNA (CANN_LNC001243)". The record is from RNAcentral. Lineage: Eukaryota; Viridiplantae; Streptophyta; Magnoliopsida; Solanales; Solanaceae.
CUUACAGUUGUUUUCUUUCAGCUAUUAAUUAGUGCUCUCCUCUUUCAGAAUAUGCCUCCUCGUCGAGCUAGAAGAAAUAACUAUGGUCAGCAACCCCAGCCUGCUGACCCACUGAAUAAAAAUGUGUCCCAUGCUGAGUUUUGGGAAACCUUUCAGGCGCUGGCCCAAGCUGUCACUACAAAUGUUUAGGCCAAUCCGG